This 558-nucleotide ribosomal RNA is filed under the name uncultured bacterium. RNAcentral describes it as "bacterial SSU rRNA". It matches the Rfam family "Bacterial small subunit ribosomal RNA", at positions 102 to 694 of the family's 1533-position model. The record is from RNAcentral.
ACGGGUGAGUAACGCGUGGGAACGUGCCCUUCGGUUCGGAAUAACUCAGGGAAACUUGAGCUAGUACCGGAUACGCCCUUUUGGGGAAAGGUUUGACUGCCGAAGGAUCGGCCCGCGUCUGAUUAGCUAGUUGGUGAGGUUACGGCUCACCAAGGCGACGAUCAGUAGCUGGUCUGAGAGGAUGAUCAGCCACACUGGGACUGAGACACGGCCCAGACUCCUACGGGAGGCAGCAGUGGGGAAUAUUGGACAAUGGGGGCAACCCUGAUCCAGCCAUGCCGCGUGAGUGAUGACGGCCUUAGGGUUGUAAAGCUCUUUUCUCCGGGACGAUAAUGACGGUACCGGAGGAAUAAGCCCCGGCUAACUUCGUGCCAGCAGCCGCGGUAAUACGAAGGGGGCUAGCGUUGCUCGGAAUCACUGGGCGUAAAGGGCGCGUAGGCGGCUGAUUUAGUCGAGGGUGAAAGCCCGUGGCUCAACCACGGAAUGGCCUUCGAUACUGGUUGGCUUGAGACCGGAAGAGGACAGCGGAACUGCGAGUGUAGAGGUGAAAUUCGUAGA